Larimichthys crocea (large yellow croaker) is the source of this 2917-nucleotide RNA transcript. It is a transcript of the gene named phosphatidylcholine:ceramide cholinephosphotransferase 2, with no coding region annotated. The record is from RefSeq and is a predicted model, not a curated record. The transcript has 8 exons. Lineage: Eukaryota; Metazoa; Chordata; Actinopteri; Sciaenidae.
GUCUCCGAGACAUCCCUGCAGACUGUCUAAAACCUGGACGUAGUCUCCGAGACAUCCCUGCAGACUGAGUUCUUCUUCAUAAAAACUGAUUUCUUUGGCUCCAUUUCACGGAAAAUCCCGAAUGCUGCCGAAACUCAGGUGAGUCAUUGACGUCAUCUCCGGAUGUGAGUCAAGAAGGCAGGGCGGAAGCUGCUGCACCAUAUUUGGAUGUAGGCGUGAGGGGAGGGGGGAGGGGCGCGUGCUCGCGUUCACACGGAGAAUCCAGAGACGCGCGUGCUCCAUCACAGUUAACCAGGAGGUCGCGAGGAGGAGAAGGAGGAGAAGUCUGACCCGGUCCCGGUCCCGGUCCCGGUGAGUCUGUCUCCUUUGAGGAAACUUUGUUUGUUUUCACCUGUUUGACGUGACGUGCCUCGCGCGCCGUCACACAGGUGUGCUUCCUGUUUGCGUCGACGUGAAGGACGUGGACCUGAAGUCUGCGGCUCGCCGCGUCACAGCUUCAAAGUUUCAGGUUUGUGAAUCACCCGAUUGACCAAUCACCUCCCUCCCCGUGACAUCACUGUUGACAGAACCAAUCAGUGAUCGUGGACUACAGCUUCUUAAGUGUACAUUUAUUGGUCGGCUGUGAUUGGCUGACAAAUCAGAGAAACUCCUCUUCAUUGGUCAAAGAAUCAACCCAACAGGCCGAUCAAUGGCAGCAUCAGAACUGAUCCAGGACAGUGACGAUGUCGGUCCGCAUGUUGAGGCUAACGUGACCACAGUGAACCCGCCUUCAUCUCCUCAUCCUUCGAGGGUUGCUAACGGUAACCCAACCCGCCUCGCCUCGCCGCCAUCGCCCACCGCUGAUGCGCACGGCGGCAAAAAGCAUCAGGAGGGCAGCAAACUGAGCAGCAUCUUCAAGCAGAACCAGCUGAUCCACUCUCUGAGCAGCGGGCUGAGGAAACACUGCGACUACGUGAAGAUCACCGUGCCGGAGGAGCGGGCGAACCGGCUUCCCAAGGAGUGGUGGAAGACGGGCGUGGCCUUCCUCUACGCCCUGUUCAACCUCGUCUUCACCACCGUUGUGAUCACCAUCGUCCACGAGAGGGUGCCGGACAAGUCCGUGAGCCCGCCGCUGCCCGACAAGUUCUUCGACUACAUGGACCGAGUGCCGUGGGCCUUCACCGUCACCGAGGUCAACGGGCUGAUCCUGGUCGGACUGUGGCUCGUCCAGUGGCUGUUCCUCAAACACAAGUCCAUCGUGGGCCGGCGCUGUUUCUUCCUGAUCGGGACGCUCUACAUGUAUCGCUGCGUCACCAUGUACAUCACCACGCUGCCUGUGCCUGGAAAACACAUGGUGUGUGCUCCGAAGCUCUACAACGACUCGACUGGGAAGAUCUGGAGGAUCCUGAGGCUGAUCUCAGGAGGAGGUUUGUCUCUGACCGGCUCUCACCUGAUGUGUGGCGACUUCCUGUACAGCGGUCACACGGUCAUGUUGACGCUGUCCUACCUCUUCAUCAAAGAGUACUCCCCUCGCUGGAUGUGGUGGUAUCACUGGUUCUGCUGGCUGCUCAGCGCCUCGGGAGUCAUCUGCAUCCUGAUCGCUCACGAGCACUACAGCAUCGACGUGGUCAUCGGAUACUUCGCCACCACCAGGACCUUCUGGUGGUACCACACCAUGGCCAACACACAUGCGCUGCGUCAAGCUCCCAACAACUACCUGUCGAGGACGUGGUGGAACCCCAUCUUCGGGUUCCUGGAGAGGAACGUGCAGACGACGGUUCCCAUCGUUUUCGCGUGGCCCGUGGCGCUGCCUUCGUCCUGCAGACAGCGGUACAGGAUCGUAGAAGCGGGACGGGACGAGUGACGGCGGCGGAGGUUACUGAGCCGAGUUUGAACGGCGUCCGUCCUGACUUCCUGUACGAGAGAGCUUGAACAUCAGAAACAACUUGGUCUGUUCUCUCCUGAGGACGAGGAGACACUGAAAGAAGGAAGAGGUUCUUGUGUUUGCAACGUUAGGAUCACCUCGUCCACAAAACUGUAAUGAUGCAGUUCAUCCUCAUGUUAAUAACAACAUGUAGAAUAAUCUCUAAAACCAGACGUUUGACUCUAACCACUGCUACUGUUAGACUGCUGCUGUGUGCCAGUAAAUCCAACCUGUGGUUCUGCAGAACUCUGAACAUAAACCUGCCGUAGCUUCUGAAACGGACUUCAGAGGUGGACUUUGUGUUCAGUGAACAAACUAACGGACCAAACAGAUCGAGAGGUGACAGGUGACUUCCUUUGUGCUCUGUGCUCCAAUCACAGUCGAGCAAGCCUCAACUGUGAUUGGAGCACAGAGCAAAAAGGGGCGGGAUUCAAAAAGUGAACCGUCACCAGAACAUCUUCACGGAGAAGCUGACUGUUGUUGUUGUUGUUGCGUGUACGGCAGAACAAUCUGAAACAUUGGCUCACGUCCUGAAGACGUUUAUCGCUGCGUAUCGGGAGGUUGUUGCCGAGACAAUACUUGAAUCUCCACGCAAAUACCAAAAUAAAUGUCAGCAUGUCCCCGACGUCCACCACCGUCCACGUUUGAGACAGAAACCUGGGACACGAGCUGGGAACCAAGCAGCAUCGUCGGCGCUGCCUCAGUCGGUUCUCCGUCAGCAUGAGCGCGAUCACUUACUUCAAGCUUGUGACGAGUAAAAGCAUCAUCAUGGUCCAUCAGUGAGUCUGCGUGUUCAAACACAGACAGCGCUUCUAGUCCUCGUCAGUGUUUGAGGGUAAUGAGUAUCGUCUAUACUUGUUUGUUGUUGUGUAAGUUAUAUUUUCACGUAUGGAAAGUAUUGAGACUUUUUUAAUUUCAUUGUAAACGGAUGAAACAUGACAGCUUCCUGUAGACUUCACAUCUGAUCAGGUCAUUCCUCAAAGAGUUCAGUGUGAACAAAAUGUCUCUAACCAC